UAGACACUAGCCAAGUAUGAAUAAGCGGCCACAUUAAAUGGCCCCAAGCACCCGUAGCCUUCUGGUAAUGUGUCUUAGGUUGGGGCGACCACGGGAGACAGAAAAGCUCCCGAGCAGAGCAGGGGACAUCCCUGAAACUAAGAGUAACAACUCUAAGUCGCAAAAGUUUUGACUGAAGUGAUCCGGCCUAAUAGCCGAUUGACGAACCAAGUUACCCUAGGGAUAACAGCGCAAUCCUCUCCCAGAGUCCCUAUCGACGAGAGGGUUUACGACCUCGAUGUUGGAUCAGGACAUCCUAAUGGUGCAGCCGCUAUUAAG
This 318-nucleotide ribosomal RNA is filed under the name unidentified. RNAcentral describes it as "Encrasicholina purpurea partial large subunit ribosomal RNA". It matches the Rfam family "Bacterial large subunit ribosomal RNA", at positions 2176 to 2569 of the family's 2925-position model. The record is from RNAcentral.